Molecule: non-coding RNA, 2381 nt
Organism: Peromyscus maniculatus bairdii (prairie deer mouse)
Lineage: Eukaryota; Metazoa; Chordata; Mammalia; Rodentia; Cricetidae
Source: RefSeq, a predicted model, not a curated record
CUCUCCUCCUCACACUCUAUGACCGUGGGUGACUCCCACUCAAAACCACAGCCCUCAACUCCACUUGCUGGUCUGCUCAAGUCUCAACACACCCUCAGAUUUAGUGACGUCAUAAAGCCUCGCGGCUUCAGUCUCUAUUGUCACACAGCCUGGCCACGGUAUAAACUCGACACUCGGUCUCUCUUGCCCAAAGGAUGGCAAUUUGACUACCAAAUCAAUCCUCACUGAUCUUGACAAAGGGUGCCAACACGUGGGCAAAUGGUCUGAAUCACUCUCUGUCCUCACCCUUCCCUCUGUACCUCAUGCUAUGUUCACCAGGUUCUCCUGACAAAAGGCAAAUCCCCUCCUGCAGCUGACCAGGACCCGGAGCCCUCUGCUUCUACUCUUUUUGACCUUGAUACAGAGGAUGUGGCCACACCCUGGCACCUCUUCAGCCUAACGCUCUCCCUCAGCCUCAACCUCAUCCUCCUGCCCCCUCUCAGCUGGUUCCCGGCCACCAUCCUAACUCCCCUCAACUACACUCUCCUCAUCACCUCCCGCAGCUCACAUCUGCUCCCACACUGAUGGCCUUUACCCACUAAGGGAAGUGGCAGGUCCUAAUGGCCUCCUCCAUGUACAUGUCGCUUUUUCUAUGGCUGACCUCUCCCAGGGAGAAAGGCGCCCUGGUUCUUUCUCUGCCAACCCUUCUAACGCCACCAAAGAGUUCAGGUGCCUUACUCAAACCUAUGGCCUCCCCUGGUAUGACCUCUAUAUUAUUCUUUCCUCUACUCUCAUCCCUGAGGAAAAGGAGAGAGAAGGUCUGGUUGGCUGUUCAAACCCACACAGGUGAGAUUCCCCCACAGACUCAGUUCCCUGGACAGACUCCCACUGGAAGUACCAGGUUAAUUCAGAGAAUCAGUCCCCAGGCAGGGUAGCCGAAGGCAAAAUGUUUCUUUGCCUCCUGGCUGGCCUUCAAAGAGCCCGUCACAAGGUAACUAAUUUUGAUAAAUUGAAGGAGGUCACCCAGAGGCUGGAUGGAAAUAAUUCUGCCAAGCUCCUCACCCAACUUACAGAGGCCCUCCUUCUGAACGCAAAGCUAGAGCCUAAUUUUUAAGAGGGCAUGCUCGGCCUCAAUUCCUACUUUCUCUGCCAGUCAGCUCCUGUUGUUAGAAAGAAACUCAAAAGGCUGAAUGGCAGCUCUCAAACUCCCCAGAGAUAUCUGUUGAAUGUGGCAUCUAAGGGAGGAGCAGGAAAAGAUAAAGCUGCUCAUGACAGAGAGACGUGCCAGCUCCUGUCAGCUGCCUUAAGAUCCCCUCCUCCAAAGAUGAUGGGGCCCUGAAGAGCGAGCUCCACCUGGAGCUUGCUUCAAAUGUGGCAAAGCCGACCAUGGGGUGAAAAUCUGCCCUUCACCUCCCUGCCACUGGGACCCUCUCCAAACUGGGGACAAGCAAGACACUGGGGAGUUGAUUGCCCCACUUCACCUAGACAGGGGAGGCCAGUCCCCCAGGUUCCUCCUCCACAGGAAAGUCUUGCUGGAUCUUCAGGGCCUGGCAGCCAAAGACUGAUUGUGCCCUGGAACCUCUGCCCCCAGUGCAGAGGGUAAUUCCUCCACGGUAAUCUGGAUUUCAGUAUGCAGAUAGAAGCCAGGACCUCAUGUGUGUUGGACCAACUGUCUACCACUGAGCUACACCCAUAACUUGCUAAAUUUGUAUAAAAAGGAAAAGCUGCAAAAGUGGGAGGAAAAAAAGUACUAUGCAUGCAAUUGGUAUCAGAACUGCCUGGAGUGGAGAAGAGCACCAAAGUGAGAAGAGGGUGUCAGAUCCCCUGAGACGGAGUUACAGAUGGUCGGAAGCUGUCAUGGAUGCUGGGAAUCAAAUCCACGUCCUCUGGAAAAGCAGCCAUGGAGCCAUCUCUCCAGCCCCUGUACUAUUUCCUGUUUCACAUUCCUCACCUGCACCACCACCCACCUCUUCACUUCCACAGGGCGAUGGAAACUGUUAGUUCAGGGGCACCUCUCUCUCUCUCCUCACCCUCCUUUCUGUCCUUGCUCUCUGCCACAGGCUAAGUGUUUGGGUCCGGGGUGGGCCUCAAACUCUUCUCCCACAGGAUGGGAAGUUAGCCAAGCUUUGGAGGAUAAAGGGUGACCCCGGCCAGCAGCUGGCCUGCCCACACCCUAGACCUUCCCUUCUGCCAGCCAGCACUCACACAGCCUUCUUUCCUGGAGCAUGUAGACGGGGUGAGCAAAUCCCUGCAGGAGAUCGGAUCAUAGUUUGGGGAAACAGAUUCUCUCUCUUUCCUUCCUUUCCUCUUCCUUCUCAGGGCUACGGCAUCCCAUAACUAGAAUGUGUGGGGCCCUUCUCCCCAUUCUACUGAUGUUAGUUGAACUAUGCCAUGGUGGAAAA